Molecule: transfer RNA, 69 nt
Filed under: Tegillarca granosa
Lineage: Eukaryota; Metazoa; Mollusca; Bivalvia; Arcoida; Arcidae
Description: tRNA-Gly
Source: RNAcentral
UCGCCGGAAAGUAUUGUAUGUAUGUGUGCCUUCCAAGCACAAGGCCUGGUUAAAUAUCAGUCUGGUGAG